GUGGUUGGCGGUGGUUGGAGGUGGUCGGAGGUGGUCGGAGGUGGACGAGGAGGAGGACGAGGAAGAUGAGGAGAACGAGGAUUUCUGCAUGGUAUAACCCAAGGUGGUUAUCGAUGGUUACUGGAGGUGGUUGGCGGUGGCUGGAGAUGUUCGGAGGUGGACGAGGAGGAGAACGAGGAAGACGAGGAAACCAAGGUCGACGAGGAUGAUGAGGAUUUGUGCACUGUAUAACCCGAGGUGGUUGGCGGUGGUUGGCG
Long non-coding RNA from Neodiprion virginianus, 257 nucleotides. RefSeq lists it as uncharacterized. The record is from RefSeq and is a predicted model, not a curated record. The transcript is spliced from 3 exons. NCBI's taxonomy places the organism in Eukaryota, Metazoa, Arthropoda, Insecta, Hymenoptera, Diprionidae.